This 796-nucleotide ribosomal RNA is filed under the name uncultured Marinobacter sp. Its description in RNAcentral is "bacterial SSU rRNA". It matches the Rfam family "Bacterial small subunit ribosomal RNA", at positions 8 to 795 of the family's 1533-position model. The record is from RNAcentral. Lineage: Bacteria; Pseudomonadati; Pseudomonadota; Gammaproteobacteria; Pseudomonadales; Marinobacteraceae.
AGAGUUUGAUUAUGGCUCAGAUUGAACGCUGGCGGCAGGCUUAACACAUGCAAGUCGAGCGGUAACAGGGGGUGCUUGCACCCCGCUGACGAGCGGCGGACGGGUGAGUAAUGCUUAGGAAUCUGCCCAGUAGUGGGGGAUAGCCCGGGGAAACCCGGAUUAAUACCGCAUACGUCCUACGGGAGAAAGCAGGGGAUCUUCGGACCUUGCGCUACUGGAUGAGCCUAAGUCGGAUUAGCUAGUUGGUGGGGUAAAGGCCUACCAAGGCGACGAUCCGUAGCUGGUCUGAGAGGAUGAUCAGCCACAUCGGGACUGAGACACGGCCCGAACUCCUACGGGAGGCAGCAGUGGGGAAUAUUGGACAAUGGGGGCAACCCUGAUCCAGCCAUGCCGCGUGUGUGAAGAAGGCUUUCGGGUUGUAAAGCACUUUCAGCGAGGAGGAAGGCUCUGAAGUUAAUACCUUCAGGGAUUGACGUUACUCGCAGAAGAAGCACCGGCUAACUCCGUGCCAGCAGCCGCGGUAAUACGGAGGGUGCAAGCGUUAAUCGGAAUUACUGGGCGUAAAGCGCGCGUAGGUGGUUAGGUAAGCGAGAUGUGAAAGCCCCGGGCUUAACCUGGGAACGGCAUUUCGAACUGUCUGACUAGAGUGUGGUAGAGGGUAGUGGAAUUUCCUGUGUAGCGGUGAAAUGCGUAGAUAUAGGAAGGAACACCAGUGGCGAAGGCGGCUACCUGGACCAACACUGACACUGAGGUGCGAAAGUGUGGGGAGCAAACAGGAUUAGAUACCCUGGUAGUC